CCUACGGGAGGCAGCAGUGGGGAAUAUUGGACAAUGGGCGAAAGCCUGAUCCAGCAAUGCCGCGUGAGUGAUGAAGGCCUUCGGGUCGUAAAGCUCUUUUACCAGGGAUGAUAAUGACAGUACCUGGAGAAUAAGCUCCGGCUAACUCCGUGCCAGCAGCCGCGGUAAUACGGAGGGAGCUAGCGUUGUUCGGAAUUACUGGGCGUAAAGAGUACGUAGGCGGUUAUUCAAGUCAGAGGUGAAAGCCCGGGGCUCAACCCCGGAACUGCCUUUGAAACUAGAUAACUAGAGUCUUGGAGAGGUUAGUGGAAUUCCGAGUGUAGAGGUGAAAUUCGUAGAUAUUCGGAAGAACACCAGUGGCGAAGGCGACUAACUGGACAAGUACUGACGCUGAGGUACGAAAGCGUGGGGAGCAAACAGGAUUAGAUACCCUGGUAGUCCACGCCGUAAACGAUGAUAACUAGUUGUUCGGUCACUUGGUGACUGAGUGACGCAGCUAACGCAUUAAGUUAUCCGCCUGGGGAGUACGGUCGCAAGAUUAAAACUCAAAAUGAAAUUGACCGGNUGAGAGUUGCGAGAGACACGAGGAGAGG
Molecule: ribosomal RNA, 593 nt
Filed under: uncultured bacterium
Lineage: Bacteria
Description: bacterial SSU rRNA
Rfam family: Bacterial small subunit ribosomal RNA
Source: RNAcentral